RNAcentral lists this ribosomal RNA (253 nucleotides) under uncultured bacterium. RNAcentral describes it as "partial 16S ribosomal RNA". It matches the Rfam family "Bacterial small subunit ribosomal RNA", at positions 524 to 776 of the family's 1533-position model. The record is from RNAcentral.
GACGUAGGAGGCGAGCGUUGUCCGGAUUCAUUGGGCGUAAAGAGCGCGCAGGCGGUUUGGUAAGUCGGAUGUGAAAGCCCGGGGCUCAACCCCGGAUCUGCAUCCGAUACUGCCCGACUAGAGGUAGGUAGGGGAGAUCGGAAUUCCUGGUGUAGCGGUGAAAUGCGCAGAUAUCAGGAGGAACACCGGUGGCGAAGGCGGAUCUCUGGGCCUUACCUGACGCUCAGGCGCGAAAGCUAGGGGAGCGAACAGG